RNAcentral lists this long non-coding RNA (345 nucleotides) under Hordeum vulgare. Its description in RNAcentral is "long non-coding RNA (HVUL_LNC010852)". The record is from RNAcentral. Lineage: Eukaryota; Viridiplantae; Streptophyta; Magnoliopsida; Poales; Poaceae.
GACGUAGUUCAACAAACAACAUAGUUCAACAGAAAACAUAGUUCAAUAGACAACAUCAUAACACUCAGAAUACGACAUAGGUCAUAACACUUCACUUCCUCCCUCUCUUUGCAGCCACCUUGCCCUUAGUAACGUAGCCCUCUGGAGUGUUCUGCCAGCCAGGACAUCUGAUGUUCCUUGAGCUAGCUCGACGUGUUUUUUCCGUUGGCCGAGUGGGUUGACUUGGCUGCAGAGCAUCUUCCAUCUGCGAAGCCCCAAACUCAAUGAAGUCUGGAUCCGCGGCGUCGUUGUCGGACUCAUCUUCUUCUUCAAUCUCCUCUUCAUGUGCUCGGCUAGAAGAAACAU